Molecule: ribosomal RNA, 465 nt
Filed under: uncultured bacterium
Lineage: Bacteria
Description: partial 16S ribosomal RNA
Rfam family: Bacterial small subunit ribosomal RNA
Source: RNAcentral
GACGAACGCUGGCGGCGUGCUUAACACAUGCAAGUCGAACGGAAAGGCCCCUUUGGGGGUACUCGAGUGGCGAACGGGUGAGUAACACGUGAGUAACCUGCCCUUGACUUCGGGAUAACUUCAGGAAACUGGGGCUAAUACCGGAUAGGAAUCCUUGCUGCAUGGUGGGGGUUGGAAAGCUUCGGCGGUUUUGGAUGGACUCACGGCUUAUCAGCUUGUUGGUGGGGUAGUGGCUUACCAAGGCUUUGACGGGUAGCCGGCCUGAGAGGGCGACCGGCCACAUUGGGACUGAGAUACGGCACAGACUCCUACGGGAGGCAGAAGGGGGGAAUAUUGCACAAUGGGCGGAAGCCUGAUGCAGCAACGCCGCGUGCGGGAUGACGGCCUUCGGGUUGUAAACCGCUUUCAGCAGGGGCGAAGCUUGUGGUGACGGUACCUGCAGAAGAAGCACCGGCUAACUACGUG